AAGUACCAUAAUGAGGAAACUUUCAUAAUAAUUCUUUAAACCGCCCCCAAACCUCAUUCGGGGAUUCAUCUUCGAGUUGCUGGAACGUAGUGAUUUAAUUUUGAAACUU
Gossypium raimondii (Peruvian cotton) is the source of this 109-nucleotide small nucleolar RNA. It matches the Rfam family "Plant small nucleolar RNA R71". From Rfam's summary of the family: R71 is a member of the C/D box family of snoRNAs containing the C (UGAUGA) and D (CUGA) box motifs. Lineage: Eukaryota; Viridiplantae; Streptophyta; Magnoliopsida; Malvales; Malvaceae. The record is from Rfam.